This 253-nucleotide ribosomal RNA is filed under the name uncultured bacterium. RNAcentral describes it as "partial 16S ribosomal RNA". It matches the Rfam family "Bacterial small subunit ribosomal RNA", at positions 524 to 776 of the family's 1533-position model. The record is from RNAcentral.
UACGAAGGGGGCAAGCGUUGUCCGGAAUCAUUGGGCGUAAAGAGCGUGUAGGCGGCCCGGUAAGUCCGCUGUGAAAGUCCAGGGCUCAACCCUGGGAUGCCGGUGGAUACUGUCGGGCUCGAGUCCGGAAGAGGAGUGUGGAAUUCCUGGUGUAGCGGUGAAAUGCGCAGAUAUCAGGAGGAACACCGGUGGCGAAGGCGGUGCUCUGGGCCGGUACUGACGCUGAGGAGCGAAAGCGUGGGUAGCAAACAGG